AAAAGUCUUGCUGAACCUCAGUUUGGAUUUCAUUAUAUUUUGGGACAUAUAGACGAUGUCUGUCACUCUGUGACUUUGUGUCCUUCCAGAGAUGCUGGGACAUAAGGCACUCCACUAAUUGCUGUGAACAUCCACUGGGCAGUUCUGGUGGGCCAUCCCCCGGGCUGGUGGUUGACUGCCCAGGGGUGCAGCACUUUGUUAGGUUCCAUCAUAUUUACUGUGGGUCAGUAAGUACCUGCUCUACUCAGCAGAAUGCUUUUCAAUGUGGCAGGGAGCUUGGUGGCUGUGUCUGAGGACAGGUCCUGUGGCUGUGGAUUCUCUGCAGGCCCAUCUGUGGUGCAGAAAUGUCCCCCCACCCUGGCCAACAUGACUCACCGGGGUCCUUAGUCCUGAAUACAAAGACUUCACUAGUCCUCUGGUUUUUUUAACUUCCGGUGUCCCAGGUCAUCAACAGCAGGUGCCCAUUUCUUUUGCUGAGUGACUGAUGCAGCAUCCAACUGGUGUCCAAACAGUGCCCAGCAUUCCCCAGGUCUGGCCCCAACACCACAUGAUGGGAGCUGUUGCUCUCCGCUUGCUGCCUUAGAGCAAACAAAUUUCUGCCUUGACCCACCUCCUGCUGCCUCCAGUGACCUUCCCGUUCAGCUUCCAGGGGACUUGGGCAACUUCUCAUCCCAGCCUUCUGCAGGGAGCUGCCACAUCUGGGGCCAUCUCUCUGUGUCAAUGUGUGUCCAAGCAGCUUUCCUCCAGCGUGGGCCCCAGGCAGACUGUGGUAAUCCUUCUAGGCUUCGUAGAACUCGGGCAGCUUCCUGCCAUUGCUCCCCCAGUGUGUGGUCAGUGGCAGCAGGAUCCUGAUGGCUUCCCUUUCCUGUGCUCAGAGGCCGACACUGCCUCACUCCUUGGAUGUGAGCUUGAGGUCCUGCUGCCACAGGGCGAGGGUGUUGUGUCUCAACCCAGGUUCCUUGGUGGUCUUUAAAAUGGUAAUACUUUGAGCUCAUGACACAGGUAUGUUUUUAUUUAUUUGUGUCUUAUUUCAUUUCUUUUAGGAACAUUUUGUAGUUUUCAGUAUAUAAGCCCCCUUCUUGGGACAUUGUUUUAAUUGUUGGUAUUAUUUCCAGAAUGCCUUUCUCAGGUUGCUCAUACACUUAUGGAACUGAUUAUCUGUGAAGGGAGAUAGUUUUACUCUUCCUUUCCAAUUUGGGUGCAUCUCUUUUUCACUGUUUCUCCUUACAUAAUUUUCCUGGCUACUGUUUCCAUUGCUGCAUCAAAAGGACCUGGUGAAUGGAGCAGGUCUCAUAUUCCAGUCCUUCUAGGGCCAUUUUUCAUGAGCACUUCUCAGCCUUUCCUCCUCUCUGAUUAGACAGGAAG
This 1365-nucleotide long non-coding RNA is filed under the name Marmota monax (woodchuck). Lineage: Eukaryota; Metazoa; Chordata; Mammalia; Rodentia; Sciuridae. The record is from RNAcentral.